UGAGGAAUAUUGCACAAUGGGCGCAAGCCUGAUGCAGCGACGCCGCGUGGGUGAUGAAGGUCUUCGGAUCGUAAAGCCCUUUUCUGCGUGACGAGACAGGACGGUAGCGCAGGAAUAAGUCUCGGCUAACUACGUGCCAGCAGCCGCGGUAAAACGUAGGAGACGAACGUUAUCCGGAGUUACUGGGCUUAAAGGGUGUGUAGGCGGGUCGACAAGUGUCUGGUGAAAGCCCCGGGCUCAACCCGGGAACGGCUGGGCAUACUGACGAUCUUGAGGCAGGUAGAGGUCACUGGAACAACUGGUGGAGCGGUGAAAUGCGUAGAUAUCAGUUGGAACGCCGGAGGCGAAAGCGGGUGACUGGGCCUGUCCUGACGCUGAAACACGAAAGCGUGGGGAGCAAACGGGAUUAGAUACCCAAGUAGUCCCUGAGCGGGCUGGCAAGGCGCAU
This 448-nucleotide ribosomal RNA is filed under the name uncultured bacterium. RNAcentral's name for it is "bacterial SSU rRNA". It matches the Rfam family "Bacterial small subunit ribosomal RNA", at positions 355 to 825 of the family's 1533-position model. The record is from RNAcentral.